RNAcentral lists this transfer RNA (73 nucleotides) under Asanoa ishikariensis. RNAcentral's name for it is "tRNA_Lys_CTT". It matches the Rfam family "tRNA". Rfam says of the family: Transfer RNA (tRNA) molecules are approximately 80 nucleotides in length. Their secondary structure includes four short double-helical elements and three loops (D, anti-codon, and T loops). The record is from RNAcentral. Lineage: Bacteria; Bacillati; Actinomycetota; Actinomycetes; Micromonosporales; Micromonosporaceae.
GCGCCGUUAGCUCAGCUGGUAGAGCAGUGGCCUCUUAAGCCAACGGUCGGGGGUUCGAGUCCUUCACGGCGCA